Molecule: ribosomal RNA, 468 nt
Filed under: uncultured bacterium
Lineage: Bacteria
Description: partial 16S ribosomal RNA
Rfam family: Bacterial small subunit ribosomal RNA
Source: RNAcentral
GACGAAUGCUGGCGGCGUGCUUAACACAUGCAAGUCGAACGGAAAGGCCCUGCUUUUGUGGGGUGCUCGAGUGGCGGACGGGUGAGUAACACGUGAGUAACCUGCCCUUGACUUUGGGAUAACUUCAGGAAACUGGGGCUAAUACCGGAUAGGAGCUCCUGCUGCAUGGUGGGGGUUGGAAAGUUUCGGCGGUUGGGGAUGGACUCGCGGCUUAUCAGCUUGUUGGUGGGGUAGUGGCUUACCAAGGCUUUGACGGGUAGCCGGCCUGAGAGGGUGACCGGCCACAUUGGGACUGAGAUACGGCCCAGACUCCUACGGGAGGCAGCAGUGGGGAAUAUUGCACAAUGGGCGGAAGCCUGAUGCAGCAACGCCGCGUGCGGGAUGACGGCCUUCGGGUUGUAAACCGCUUUCGCCUGUGACGAAGCGUGAGUGACGGUAAUGGGUAAAGAAGCACCGGCUAACUACGUG